Molecule: small nuclear RNA, 107 nt
Filed under: Dasypus novemcinctus (nine-banded armadillo)
Lineage: Eukaryota; Metazoa; Chordata; Mammalia; Cingulata; Dasypodidae
Source: RNAcentral
GUGUUCACUUUGGCAGCACAUAUACUUAAAUUGGAACAAGGCAGAGAAGAUUAGCAUGGCCCCUGCACAAGGAUGACAUGCAAAUUUGUGAAGCAUUCCAUAUUUUU